Non-coding RNA from Ailuropoda melanoleuca (giant panda), 487 nucleotides. NCBI's taxonomy places the organism in Eukaryota, Metazoa, Chordata, Mammalia, Carnivora, Ursidae. The record is from the annotation of a RefSeq genome assembly.
UUACAUAGAUGGGUCCUCCCUCACUCACAGAAUGAAAAGGGGAGAGCAAGAUUAGGGGAGACUGCUCAGACGUGUUGCAUAGAGGGCAGGAUUAGGGAUGACUACCACCAUGGCCUGGUUCCCUCUCCUCCUCACCCUCCUCUCUCACUGUACAGCGUCCUGGGCCCAGUCUGUGCUGACUCAGCCAUCCUCCGUGUCUGGUGCCCUGGGACAGACAGUCACCAUCUCCUGCACUGGAAGCAGCUCCAACAUUGGGAGUUAUGCUCUGAGCUGGUACCAACAGCUCCCAGGCACAGCCCCCAAAACUGUCAUCUAUUAUGAUGAUAGCAGUCCCACAGGUGUCCCCAGUCGAUUGUCUGGCUCCAAGUCUGGCAGCUCAGGCACCCUGACCAUCUCUGGGCUCCAGGCUGAGGAUGAGGCUGAUUAUUAUUGUUCAUCGUGGGAUGAUAGUCUCAGUGCUCACACAGUGCUCCAGACCUGUGAGGAA